Lycium barbarum (goji berry) is the source of this 489-nucleotide long non-coding RNA. RefSeq lists it as uncharacterized. The transcript has 2 exons. The record is from RefSeq and is a predicted model, not a curated record. Lineage: Eukaryota; Viridiplantae; Streptophyta; Magnoliopsida; Solanales; Solanaceae.
GAGUCUUAUUCCAUUCAGACUCAUUAAAUAAUACACGCUAUUAACAAAACACGCCUCUGCUUCUUUCUCUAGCAAAAUUUCCAUGCCUCCUCUCUGCUUCUUCAACCAAAAUACUACCACUUUUUUCCCUCUUGUACUGGUUUUGUAGUUCAUAGUUUUAUUAGGAAGGAGCGUAUAAAUGAUGAACUGUUUAAUCAAUACGGUUCACCUCAGUUAAUGUUUGAUGAGGAAGAAGGAGAACAAGAAGAAAUGUUAGAUGAAGCAAGUGGACCUAGUUGGAUAGCUGAAGAUUCGCAGAUAAUGCACAAUAUGUGUGAACAACUUGCCCUUCAACUAAUGCAAAGAAGAGGAAAUACUUGAGAUUUUCAUAUUUUCAUUAUUUGAAAUACUUCCAGUGUUUGGACCUUAGAAUUUGAUCUGAUGUAGUUAAUUAUUUGAAUUAUCUUAUACUUGAGCGUUUGAAGUGGAACAAGAUUUUGUUUAACUGAA